RNAcentral lists this ribosomal RNA (114 nucleotides) under uncultured eukaryote. Its description in RNAcentral is "partial small subunit ribosomal RNA". It matches the Rfam family "Bacterial small subunit ribosomal RNA", at positions 1412 to 1525 of the family's 1533-position model. The record is from RNAcentral.
UGUGUUUACCCGAAGGCAGUGCGCUAACCGCAAGGAGGCAGCUGACCACGGUAGGCUCAGCGACUGGGGUGAAGUCGUAACAAGGUAGCCGUAGGUGAACCCGCAGAAGGAUCA